AUUGAACGCUGGCGGCAGGCCUAACACAUGCAAGUCGAGCGGUAGCACAGAGAGCUUGCUCUCGGGUGACGAGCGGCGGACGGGUGAGUAAUGUCUGGGAAACUGCCUGAUGGAGGGGGAUAACUACUGGAAACGGUAGCUAAUACCGCAUAACGUCGCAAGACCAAAGUGGGGGACCUUCGGGCCUCAUGCCAUCAGAUGUGCCCAGAUGGGAUUAGCUAGUAGGUGGGGUAACGGCUCACCUAGGCGACGAUCCCUAGCUGGUCUGAGAGGAUGACCAGCCACACUGGAACUGAGACACGGUCCAGACUCCUACGGGAGGCAGCAGUGGGGAAUAUUGCACAAUGGGCGCAAGCCUGAUGCAGCCAUGCCGCGUGUGUGAAGAAGGCCUUCGGGUUGUAAAGCACUUUCAGCGGGGAGGAAGGCGGUGAGGUUAAUAACCUCAUCGAUUGACGUUACCCGCAGAAGAAGCACCGGCUAACUCCGUGCCAGCAGCCGCGGUAAUACGGAGGGUGCAAGCGUUAAUCGGAAUUACUGGGCGUAAAGCGCACGCAGGCGGUCUGUCAAGUCGGAUGUGAAAUCCCCGGGCUCAACCUGGGAACUGCAUUCGAAACUGGCAGGCUAGAGUCUUGUAGAGGGGGGUAGAAUUCCAGGUGUAGCGGUGAAAUGCGUAGAGAUCUGGAGGAAUACCGGUGGCGAAGGCGGCCCCCUGGACAAAGACUGACGCUCAGGUGCGAAAGCGUGGGGAGCAAACAGGAUUAGAUACCCUGGUAGUCCACGCCGUAAACGAUGUCGAUUUGGAGGUUGUGCCCUUGAGGCGUGGCUUCCGGAGCUAACGCGUUAAAUCGACCGCCUGGGGAGUACGGCCGCAAGGUUAAAACUCAAAUGAAUUGACGGGGGCCCGCACAAGCGGUGGAGCAUGUGGUUUAAUUCGAUGCAACGCGAAGAACCUUACCUGGUCUUGACAUCCACAGAACUUUCCAGAGAUGGAUUGGUGCCUUCGGGAACUGUGAGACAGGUGCUGCAUGGCUGUCGUCAGCUCGUGUUGUGAAAUGUUGGGUUAAGUCCCGCAACGAGCGCAACCCUUAUCCUUUGUUGCCAGCGGUUAGGCCGGGAACUCAAAGGAGACUGCCAGUGAUAAGCUGGAGGAAGGUGGGGAUGACGUCAAGUCAUCAUGGCCCUUACGACCAGGGCUACACACGUGCUACAAUGGCAUAUACAAAGAGAAGCGACCUCGCGAGAGCAAGCGGACCUCAUAAAGUAUGUCGUAGUCCGGAUUGGAGUCUGCAACUCGACUCCAUGAAGUCGGAAUCGCUAGUAAUCGUAGAUCAGCAUGCUACGGUGAAUACGUUCCCGGGUCU
Molecule: ribosomal RNA, 1361 nt
Filed under: uncultured bacterium
Lineage: Bacteria
Description: bacterial SSU rRNA
Rfam family: Bacterial small subunit ribosomal RNA
Source: RNAcentral